AGAAAGUAGUAUAAUGGAGGUACAUGGAGUUUUGAGCUCUUUGGUGCAGGUUCGGUUCCUGUCUUUCUA
RNAcentral lists this transfer RNA (69 nucleotides) under Scincopus fasciatus. Its description in RNAcentral is "partial tRNA-Gln". It matches the Rfam family "tRNA". Rfam says of the family: Transfer RNA (tRNA) molecules are approximately 80 nucleotides in length. Their secondary structure includes four short double-helical elements and three loops (D, anti-codon, and T loops). The record is from RNAcentral. Lineage: Eukaryota; Metazoa; Chordata; Lepidosauria; Squamata; Scincidae.